GAUGAACGCUGGCGGCGUGCCUAAUACAUGCAAGUCGAGCGAACAGACGAGGAGCUUGCUCCUCUGACGUUAGCGGCGGACGGGUGAGUAACACGUGGAUAACCUACCUAUAUGACUGGGAUAACUUCGGGAAACCGGAGCUAAUACCGGAUAAACUCUUAAUCCCUUGGGUUAAUUGGGAAAGUACGGUUUUUUGGGAAGUACUCGUGGAUUCGCGCCGUGUUUGCUUGGUGGUUAGGUAACGGGUUAUCAAGGCAACGAUGCGUUGCCGAACUGAGAGGGGGGUCGGCCGCACUGGAACUGAGACACGGUCAAGGCGCCUACGGGAGGGAGCAGUAGGGAAUCGGCCGCAAUAGGCGAAAGCCUGACGGAGCAACGCCGCGUGAGUGAUAAAGGUCUUCGGAUCGUAAAACUCUGUUAUUAGGGAAGAACAGAUGUGUAAGUAACUAUGCACGUCGUGACGGUAACUAAUCAGAAAGCCACGGCUAACUACGUG
RNAcentral lists this ribosomal RNA (496 nucleotides) under uncultured bacterium. Its description in RNAcentral is "partial 16S ribosomal RNA". It matches the Rfam family "Bacterial small subunit ribosomal RNA", at positions 28 to 507 of the family's 1533-position model. The record is from RNAcentral.